GACGAACGCUGGCGGCGUGCCUAAUACAUGCAAGUAGAACGCACAGUUUAUACCGUAGCUUGCUACACCAUAGACUGUGAGUUGCGAACGGGUGAGUAACGCGUAGGUAACCUGCCUGGUAGCGGGGGAUAACUAUUGGAAACGAUAGCUAAUACCGCAUAAUAUUGAUUAUUGCAUGAUAAUUAAUUGAAAGGUGCAAUUGCACCACUACCAGAUGGACCUGCGUUGUAUUAGCUAGUAGGUGAGGUAACGGCUCACCUAGGCGACGAUACAUAGCCGACCUGAGAGGGUGAUCGGCCACACUGGGACUGAGACACGGCCCAGACUCCUACGGGAGGCAGCAGUAGGGAAUCUUCGGCAAGGGACGAAAGUCUGACCGAGCAACGCCGCGUGAGUGAAGAAGGUUUUCGGAUCGUAAAGCUCUGUUGUAAGAGAAGAACGGGUGUGAGAGUGGAAAGUUCACACUGUGACGGUAUCUUACCAGAAAGGGACGGCUAACUACGUG
RNAcentral lists this ribosomal RNA (505 nucleotides) under uncultured bacterium. Its description in RNAcentral is "partial 16S ribosomal RNA". It matches the Rfam family "Bacterial small subunit ribosomal RNA", at positions 28 to 507 of the family's 1533-position model. The record is from RNAcentral.